Molecule: ribosomal RNA, 485 nt
Filed under: Cryptosporidium sp. B2-6
Lineage: Eukaryota; Apicomplexa; Conoidasida; Eucoccidiorida; Cryptosporidiidae
Description: SSU rRNA
Rfam family: Eukaryotic small subunit ribosomal RNA
Source: RNAcentral
CGAUUCCGGAGAGGGAGCCUGAGAAACGGCUACCACAUCUAAGGAAGGCAGCAGGCGCGCAAAUUACCCAAUCCUAAUACAGGGAGGUAGUGACAAGAAAUAACAAUACAGGACUUUAAAUAGUUUUGUAAUUGGAAUGAGUUAAGUAUAAACCCCUUUACAAGUAUCAAUUGGAGGGCAAGUCUGGUGCCAGCAGCCGCGGUAAUUCCAGCUCCAAUAGCGUAUAUUAAAGUUGUUGCAGUUAAAAAGCUCGUAGUUGGAUUUCUGUUAAUAAUUUAUAUAUAAUAUUUUAUUAAUAUUUAUAUAGUAUUAACAUAAUUCAUAUUACUAUAUUUUAUAGUAUAUGAAAUUUUACUUUGAGAAAAUUAGAGUGCUUAAAGCAGGCAUUAGCCUUGAAUACUCCAGCAUGGAAUAAUAUAAAAGAUUUUUAUCUUUUUUAUUGGUUCUAAGAUAAAAAUAAUGAUUAAUAGGGACAGUUGGGGGCA